RNAcentral lists this non-coding RNA (215 nucleotides) under Desulforamulus putei. RNAcentral's name for it is "Desulfotomaculum putei T-box sequence". It matches the Rfam family "T-box leader". Rfam says of the family: Uncharged tRNA acts as the effector for transcription antitermination of genes in the T-box leader family. T-boxes are found upstream of many aminoacyl-tRNA synthetase genes and some amino acid biosynthetic genes usually in Gram-positive bacteria. The anticodon of a specific tRNA base pairs to a specifier sequence within the T-box motif, and the NCCA acceptor tail of the tRNA base pairs to a conserved bulge in the T-box antiterminator hairpin. Lineage: Bacteria; Bacillati; Bacillota; Clostridia; Eubacteriales; Peptococcaceae. The record is from RNAcentral.
UUAGUAACGUUGAUGGGGAGCAGUAAGCGGUGUAACCCUGCAGAGAGCCGCCGGUUGGUGUAAGGCGGUGGGCUAAAUUGCUGAAUCUCGCCCCGGAGUUGUUUGGAGGAAAUCCUAUUACUUCAAACCGGGUGUGCCCGUUACAGCUUUUAAGGGGAUAAGUUGCACACUUAUCAACUGGGGUGGUACCGCGGGAGUAACCUCUCGUCCCUUUU